CAAAGACUUUUACAGUCGUUCAUUAGGUCAAAGAUGGGAUUUCCUCCCUCUUCUGUAGAAGGACGUGAUGCUCCUGAUGAGGUCUUCUGACACCAUUUAAUUUGAGCACCAGCAGAAGCACCAUUAGUAAAAUAUUCCUGCAACACAGAGGAGGUGCAUAGGUGCAUAGCCUCGAAAAAGAAACUAAAAAAUACUUGAUGAAAAUGUUUGGACCAUUCUGGCCUUUCUGUUUUGGAUGUUUCAUUAACACAUUGAUUAACAACCAAUGACCAAACAAAACAAUGCAUUCACUCUAUUGAUAUCUGCAUAGAUUGAUUCUUUCUUUUUUCUUUUUUUUUUUUGACUACUUCUGAUGAGGUAACAUGAAGAGCGAUGUCAAUGACAACCACAGUCUUAAGGCUAAAAACAAGCCCAAGAACUGAAGGGUCCUGCUCAUGCAGCCAUGGAAACCCCUCAGUGCUACAAGCAAGGUCAAAGGUCUCCUCGAUCCGUCAGCUCCAAACUCAUCCUUCAACCGACCAGGAAUGACACAUGCUGUCCUGUGGUUUUAGGGGUGAAGGUAAAAAACGGGACACCUUGACCUUCUCAGACAUGCUUUAGUGAUGGCGUUUGUAAAAAAUACAAAAAACAAGUGUUACCAUGUGCCACAAUCAGGUAAAAAAAUAACCAGAGGCUGCACACCGAGGCUGAUGACCGCUAGGUAGACGUCACGAAGUAGCUCCGAAGGGCAGUGAGGAGCAGGAAACUGUGACGCAGUUGGACGUGGAAGCCAAUCAGAAGCAGAGGAGCGAGACCGCGAUCUUGGCUCAAAC
This is a long non-coding RNA of Cynoglossus semilaevis (tongue sole), 812 nucleotides long. RefSeq lists it as uncharacterized. The transcript has 2 exons. Lineage: Eukaryota; Metazoa; Chordata; Actinopteri; Pleuronectiformes; Cynoglossidae. The record is from RefSeq and is a predicted model, not a curated record.